Molecule: unclassified non-coding RNA, 390 nt
Filed under: soil metagenome
Description: partial contains 5.8S ribosomal RNA, internal transcribed spacer 2, and large subunit ribosomal RNA
Rfam family: 5.8S ribosomal RNA (bases 1-120)
Source: RNAcentral
GAUGAAGAACGUAGUGAAGUGCGAUAAGUAAUGUGAAUUGCAGAAUUCCGUGAAUCAUCGAAUCUUUGAACGCAAAUUGCGCUUCCUGGCAUCCCGGGAAGUAUGCCUGUUUGAGGGUCAGUGUUAAUAAAAAUCGGUUCGUUGCGAAUUUUUUGUGACGUUCCGGAGUUUGGGUUAUCUUAACUUUUUUGGUUAAGAGGCUUAAAAUUGACCUUUUUUUUGCGCAUUUUUUAGACGUACAUAAAUUUUUUUUUUAUUCGUCUAUUCUUAAUGCCAAAAUAUAUUAGAUGCGACCAUAUCGUGUGGUUCCGUGUCUAUAAAUUUUUCAUGAUUUGACCUCAAAUCAGGUAGGAGUACCCGCUGAACUUAAGCAUAUCAAUAAGCGGAGGA